This 465-nucleotide ribosomal RNA is filed under the name uncultured bacterium. RNAcentral's name for it is "partial 16S ribosomal RNA". It matches the Rfam family "Bacterial small subunit ribosomal RNA", at positions 28 to 507 of the family's 1533-position model. The record is from RNAcentral.
GACGAACGCUGGCGGCGUGCUUAACACAUGCAAGUCGUACGGUAAGGCCCUUUCGGGGGUACACGAGUGGCGAACGGGUGCGUAACACGUGCGUAACCUGCCCACAACUUUGGGAUAACGCUAGGAAACUGGUGCUAAUACUGGAUAUGUGCUCCUGCUGCAUGGUGGGGGUUGGAAAGCUCCGGCGGUUGUGGAUGGACUCGCGGCCUAUCAGCUUGUUGGUGGGGUAGUGGCCUACCAAGGCGGCGACGGGUAGCCGGCCUGAGAGGGUGACCGGCCACAUUGGGACUGAGAGACGGCCCAGACUCCUACGGGAGGCAGCAGUGGGGAAUAUUGCACAAUGGGCGCAAGCCUGAUGCAGCAGCGCCGCGUGCGGGAUGACGGCCUUCGGGUUGUAAACCGAUUUCAGCAGGGACGAAGCUUUUUGUGACGGUACCUGCAGAAGAAGCACCGGCUAACUACGUG